UCCAGGGCACGAAUGGACUUGACUGUCUUU
This 30-nucleotide non-coding RNA is filed under the name Homo sapiens (human). The record is from RNAcentral. Lineage: Eukaryota; Metazoa; Chordata; Mammalia; Primates; Hominidae.